Molecule: long non-coding RNA, 493 nt
Organism: Mus caroli (Ryukyu mouse)
Lineage: Eukaryota; Metazoa; Chordata; Mammalia; Rodentia; Muridae
Source: RefSeq, a predicted model, not a curated record
GUUCUUCUCAGAAGUGUUUGUAGGGUGGAUGUCCACCAAAGUGGCUAGGCUGCAGGGAAGGUAGGCUCCUGAGACCUGAGAACCAGAAGGGGACUCUGCUGGUACUGAAAAGAUAGCUCAGUGGUUAAUAAUAAGCCUGAGGACCUGCAUUCCGAUCUCCUAGAGCCUGCAUAAAGCCAAGCGCGGUCCCCACCUGCUCGAAGAGACUGUAUCAUUGGCUCUGUGCCACCUCACCUCCAACCCCCAUGGGCAGACAUUUCAGCUACUGUGAUCUGAAGUCUACCCCAGGGAAGACAGCAGUAACGGGAAAUAACAAGAGGUCCUCUGAUGAAUGUUGCUGAUCGCCAUGGUUACGGUUCUGAGAUGCAGCAAAGAGCAAUUAUGGUGGUAGAGAAGAAGGAAAUGCACCUCUUUGUCAGAAUUUCAUAGCAGCUGUAACAACAUGAGAGCACCCAAAUGAAUGCAGAAUAACUGAAAUAUUGUGACAUGUUAA